GGAGAGGUCGCAUAGAGGCCUAUUGCACUCGCUUGGAAAGCGAGAGAGUUUACGCUCACGAGGGUUCGAAUCCCUCCCUCUCCGCCA
RNAcentral lists this transfer RNA (87 nucleotides) under Candidatus Auribacterota bacterium. Its description in RNAcentral is "tRNA-Ser". It matches the Rfam family "tRNA". From Rfam's summary of the family: Transfer RNA (tRNA) molecules are approximately 80 nucleotides in length. The record is from RNAcentral. Lineage: Bacteria; Pseudomonadati; Candidatus Auribacterota.